GAUGAAGAACGCAGCGAAAUGCGAUAGGUAAUGUGAAUUGCAGAAUUCAGUGAAUCAUCGAAUCUUUGAACGCACAUUGCGCCCCUUGGUAUUCCAUGGGGCAUGCCUGUUCGAGCGUCAUUUGUACCUUCAAGCUCUGCUUGGUGUUGGGUGUUUGUCUCGCCUCUGCGUGUAGACUCGCCUCAAAACAAUUGGCAGCCGGCGUAUUGAUUUCGGAGCGCAGUACAUCUCGCGCUUUGCACUCAUAACGACGACGUCCAAAAGUACAUUUUUACACUCUUGACCUCGGAUCAGGUAGGGAUACCCGCUGAACUUAAGCAUAUCAAUAAGCGGAGGA
This 337-nucleotide unclassified non-coding RNA is filed under the name soil metagenome. RNAcentral's name for it is "partial contains 5.8S ribosomal RNA, internal transcribed spacer 2, and large subunit ribosomal RNA". The stretch from base 1 to 120 matches the Rfam family "5.8S ribosomal RNA", at positions 35 to 154 of the family's 154-position model. The record is from RNAcentral.